RNAcentral lists this ribosomal RNA (842 nucleotides) under uncultured eukaryote. Its description in RNAcentral is "SSU rRNA". It matches the Rfam family "Eukaryotic small subunit ribosomal RNA", at positions 4 to 846 of the family's 1831-position model. The record is from RNAcentral.
CUGGUUGAUCCUGCCAGUAGCCAUAUGCUUGUCUCAAAGAUUAAGCCAUGCAUGUCUAAGUACAGGCCUCAUUAAGGUGAAACCGCGAAUGGCUCAUUAAAUCACACCUAAUAUACUGGAUAGUAACAGUUACUUGGAUAACUGCGGUAAUUCUGGAGCUAAUACAUGCGUCAAAACCCCGAACUUACGUGAGGGGUGCUUUUAUUAGAUCAAAACCAAACGACUUCGGUCGUUCACUUGGUGAUUCUGAAUAACUUUGGGCAGAUCGCACGGCCUCAUGCCGGCGACAUAUUCUUCUAAGGUGUGCCCUAUCAACUGUCGACUGUGGCAUAGACGCCCACAGUGGUUUUGACGGGUAACGGGGAAUCAGGGUUCGAUUCCGGAGAGGGAGCCUGAGAAACGGCUACCACUUCUAAGGAAGGCAGCAGGCACGCAAAUUACCCACUGGUCGAAGACCGAGGUAGUGACGAAAAAUAACGAUACCGGACUCAUCCGAGGCCCGGUAAUCGGAAUGAGUACACUUUAAAUCCUUUAACGAGGACCAAUUGGAGGGCAAGUCUGGUGCCAGCAGCCGCGGUAAUUCCAGCUCCAAUAGCGUAUGUUAAUGUUGUUGCGGUUAAAAAGCUCGUAGUUGGAUCUCGGCGGGUAGGGGGCGGUUCGAUAUUUGUCGGUACUGCUCCAUUUACCCGUGUUUUUGACAGAGGGUUCAGGGUGCUCUUAAUCGAGUGUCCUGNGCUGCUGUCAGGUUUACUUUGAAAAAAUUAGAGUGCUCAAAGCAGGCUUUACACGCUUGAAUAUUCGUGCAUGGAAUAAUAGAAUAGGAUGUGAUUUCUAUUUUGUUG